GACGAACGCUGGCGGCGUGCUUAACACAUGCAAGUCGAACGGAAAGGCCCUGCUUUUGUGGGGUGCUCGAGUGGCGAACGGGUGAGUAACACGUGAGUAACCUGCCCUUGACUUUGGGAUAACUUCAGGAAACUGGGGCUAAUACCGGAUAGGAGCUCCUGCUGCAUGGUGGGGGUUGGAAAGUUUCGGCGGGUGGGGAUGGACUCGCGGCUUAUCAGCUUGUUGGUGGGGUAGUGGCUUACCAAGGCUUUGACGGGUAGCCGGCCUGGGAGGGUGACCGGCCACAUUGGGACUGAGAUACGGCCCAGACUCCUACGGGAGGCAGCAGUGGGGAAUAUUGCACAAUGGGCGGGAGCCUGAUGCAGCAACGCCGCGUGCGUGAUGACGGCCUUCGGGUUGUAAACCGCUUUCGCCUGUGACGAAGCGUGAGUGACGGUAAUGGGUAAAGAAGCACCGGCUAACUACGUG
Molecule: ribosomal RNA, 468 nt
Filed under: uncultured bacterium
Lineage: Bacteria
Description: partial 16S ribosomal RNA
Rfam family: Bacterial small subunit ribosomal RNA
Source: RNAcentral